Molecule: ribosomal RNA, 253 nt
Filed under: uncultured bacterium
Lineage: Bacteria
Description: partial 16S ribosomal RNA
Rfam family: Bacterial small subunit ribosomal RNA
Source: RNAcentral
UACAGAGGGUGCGAGCGUUGUCCGGAAUCACUGGGCGUAAAGGGCGCGUAGGCGGCCCGGUAAGUAGGGGGUGAAAUCUCGCGGCUCAACUGCGAGGCUGCCUCCUAAACUGUCGGGCUCGAGCACAGUAGAGGCAGGUGGAAUUCCCGGUGUAGCGGUGGAAUGCGUAGAGAUCGGGAAGAACAUCGGUGGCGAAGGCGGCCUGCUGGGCUGUUGCUGACGCUGAGGCGCGACAGCGUGGGGAGCAAACAGG